GACGAACCGUGCUAACGUUGUUCGGAAUCACUGGGCUUAAAGGGCGCGUAGGCGGGCAAGCAAGUCGAAGGUGAAAUCCCACGGCUCAACCGUGGAAGUGCCCCCGAUACUGCUUGUCUGGAGGGAGAUAGGGGCGUGCGGAACUUCCGGUGGAGCGGUGAAAUGCGUAGAUAUCGGAAGGAACACCGGUGGCGAAAGCGGCGCGCUGGAUCUCUUCUGACGCUGAGGCGCGAAAGCCAGGGGAGCAAACGGG
This 253-nucleotide ribosomal RNA is filed under the name uncultured bacterium. Its description in RNAcentral is "partial 16S ribosomal RNA". It matches the Rfam family "Bacterial small subunit ribosomal RNA", at positions 524 to 776 of the family's 1533-position model. The record is from RNAcentral.